AUUGAACGCUGGCGGCAUGCCUAACACAUGCAAGUCGAGCGGAUGAAGGGAGCUUGCUCCUGGACUCAGCGGCGGACGGGUGAGUAAUGCCUAGGAAUCUGCCUGGUAUUGGGGGAUAACGUCCGGAAACGGGCGCGAAUACCGCAUACGACCUGAUGGAGAAAGUGGGGGAUCUUCGGAGCUAACGGGAUCUGAUGAGCCUAGGUCGGAUUAGCUAGUUGGUUGGGUAAAGGCCUACCAAGGCGACGAUCCGUAACUGGUCUGAGAGGAUGAUCAGUCACACUGGAACUGAGACACGGUCCAGACUCCUACGGGAGGCAGCAGUAGGGAAUAUUGGACAAUGGGCGAAAGCCUGAUCCAGCAAUGCCGCGUGAGUGAUGAAGGUCUUCGGAUUGUAAAGCACUGUAAGUUGGGAGGAAGGGCAGUAAGUUAAUCCCUUGCUGUUUUGACGGUACCAACAGAAUAAGCACCGGCUAACUUCGUG
Molecule: ribosomal RNA, 484 nt
Filed under: uncultured bacterium
Lineage: Bacteria
Description: partial 16S ribosomal RNA
Rfam family: Bacterial small subunit ribosomal RNA
Source: RNAcentral